UUUGGUACCAGGGAUGGAACUCAUGACCUUGUGCUUGUCAGGCAGGUGCUUAAGCCACUGAGCUAAAUCCCCAGCCUUACAAAGGGAUUUUAAAAACACCUCAGAACACGAUGUGCUUUAUCCUAAAUAUAAUAGACAUUUUCUAGGAAAGUUUAGUGGAGUAAGUUUGCUUUAUCUGUUUAAUCCCUUCUGUUAUUUCAAAAGGGAAGGCAGGAGCUUAAGAUCAUAAAACACCAUCAAAGCAGAGCUUUACUAUGCUAUUAGAUAAUGUUAUUAAACUUUAAAAGUUCCUUUGAAAGAACCAUUACGGACUUCCUGGUGAAUCUCUGAUCUCUGAUUACAUGUCACAUGGGAUAAGCAGAUAUAUUGCAAAUGAACUAAAAGCAACAGAGUCUGGAAGGUGAAUAAAAGCCAAAUACCCUUGUUUCGCUAAACCAGCAGGUUGAAGACCUAGAUCUUUCAUCCUUGGAAAGAAUACUGAACUUCUUUUUUCAUGUUUUAAAACAUUUUUAUCCAGGUAUAAAGCUUAUAUACAGCUUGCCAAUUUAAAUGUAUAACUUGAUGAAUUUAGUAGCCAGAGUUGUGCAGCCAUCAACACAGUCAGUUUUAGAACAUUUUUAUCAUUCAGAAGGGAACCCGACUGGUCAUUCCUCAGGUUGUCUUGCCUGCCUUAGCCCUGGCUCUAGGCAACAUCUGAUCUUUCUGUCUCUAUAGGGUUACCUAUUCUGAACACUUACUAUAAAGAGAACCAUACAGUUUUUUUGUGAUUGGCUUUUAUCAUUGAUCAUAAUAUGCUUAAGGUUUGUCAGUGUUUUAGCAUUUAUCAGUACUUCUUUCUUUUUAUGGCCAAAUUACUCUUUAUUUGAAUAUACCAAUUUUUUGUUUACUCAUUUAUUUAUGGGUAGAUACUUGGUUUGUUCCCACUUUUUGACUCUUUUUUUUUAAAUUUUAUUUAAAAGGAAAAAGAGAAAAAACAAAACAAAACAAAGUGGUAUAAGGGUACAAGUAAUACAGAACUACAAAAAAAAAAAACAGUAAGAAAUCACCAGUUAAUAUAUUACACAUUAUCAUAUUAGAGAUAGUUGCUCAAGACACAGAAUCAAAGCAUACAAAGUGAACAUUCAAACAGAGAGACUGCAAAAAGUUGUAUUCAAUGAUCCAACCAAAAACAUUAAUAUGGUCAGCUAUUUAACACCCCUAAACACACUUGCAGUUGUAUCCUUUAGAGCACUUUUUUUCCCUCUCUUUUUUUACAGCAACAUUUACACAUUUUGGGUUUCAUUACUCCUUAGUUCUUACUACUGUUUUUUUUUGGAAGAGAAUAAAGUCAAAUAUGGCAAAACAAAGCUGUCCACUCUUUGACUCUUAUGAAUAAUAGUUAUGAACAGUUGUAUAAUAAAUUUUUGUGUGAACAUAUUUUCAUUUCUCUUGAAUAUACAGAAUCACUGGGUCAUACAGCAGCUGCGUGUAAACUGUUUGAGGAGAUGCCAAAGUGUUUUCCAAAUUGCGGCACAAAUUUGCAGCACAAAUUUCCACAAGCAAUGUAUGAGCAUUCCAGUUUCUCCACAUUUGCCCCCAAAUUUGUUUUUGUUUUAUUAGUGCCAUCUUGUAGGUAUGAAGUGGUAUCUCAUUGUAGUUAUUAAUUUGUAUUUCUCUAAUGACUAAUGAUUAGCAUUGAGCAUCUCUUUCACUCAAUCUUUUGGAAGAGAAUAGUAUAUAGAAAGCUCAGUUUCAUGGAUAUUCAAAAAUGUAUUAUUUAAACCUAAGCAAAAUAGCCAGUUUUAUAUCCAUUACAUUUAAUUCAAUUUAUAUGAAUGCUACUUGAUGUUUUGAACCAAGUUUUAUGAUGAUGUUUAAUAAUUUGUGAUGAUAUUUGGACCUGCAUUUUUUUUCCAUUGAGAAUUAUCUGACUAAUACCAGGAUAAAUUUCAAAUAUAGAGCACCAUUUCAGAUAUCAUGAAGCAGUUGUAUGCAGUAUAAGUUAAGACAUUUACUGUUUCUGAUUGCAGAAAAGAAGCAAAACAAACUUUUUAAAUUGGAAUAAAUAUCAGGGUAGAUAACAUUUACUGACCUGGAAUAAACACAGUAAUUUAUAAAAAUGGCCCACAUUGUUGAUGUGAAUAUAUAAAACAUAAAUAUUCAUUCAAGUUCUAGACUUUAACAUUACAGCAUUCUAUGAAAGAUCUUAUCUGAAACUUGAGUAAUGAAAUAAAUAAUUUAUUUGGGUUCCCUUUUGCCCUAAAUCCCAUAAUUACAUAAUUCCUGUUUAAGAUCAAAUUUUUUAAAGCAUGGUAUUUUAAACAACCCAACUACUCACAUGUUAUGAGCCAAGAAACUUAUCUUUUUGUUUCAAAAAAUAACUUUGAGACUUUGUUUAUAUGACAAUUCUGUACUUAUUCCAGAUUGUGUCCUUAUAAUUUAUUCACAUGUAUUAAAAUUUUAACAAGUUUCUGACAAAGAACAGGUGAGAUAAGUCAGGAGUCAUUAGAAGUUCAGCACAGUAUUUUGGUCAUUAUUUGGAAUUCCUAAGUGAGAGGAAACAGAUUGGUUUGGUUACAUUAUUCUUUCUGUGCCAAAUAAACAAUUGGGAAAACAUUAAAUAUCCUUUAGCUUUAUAUCUGCUUCUAGGCUAGAUAUGCUUAGUGGUCACAGUACUACUAGCAUUCUUAGAUGUUCGAUAUUUAAUGAUAGCAUUUGAAAAACAUUUUAAUAUAUAGCAUAAAAAUUAAUUUAUGGGAAUCUAUUGAAUGACUUAGUAUGACCAUUCAGGGAGCAUUUAUUGAAUGCUAAUUAUGUUAGGACACUGCUGGCCAGAGGACGGUGCUGAAGUUUAUGGGAAAUCCUCAGGGAUGGGUUACUAUAUGAAGUGCUGUUUAAAUCUGAGUACAGUUAGGAUAUUCAUAGGGGAGCUAAAACUAAGAAUAGCAUUAGCUCUGAAAAAAAAUCCCAAAGAUAGUUGUAAAUAAAGCCUUUCUAUUAAGCAAUAGAUAGGCAGUAUCAUACAUCUGAGAAAUAUUUAAGUGUUCACUAGCAUAGUUUAAGCAAUAAGGGAAACAGUUGGGAAACAACCAAAAAGAGAGACUUCAGCUUUUAAAGGACUAAUGGAAUGCAUAAAAGCAUGAAUAGGGAAUAACAUAUUACAGAGUCAGUGGGUUGGGAUGGACAGAGGUCAAAUCAAAGGGAGCAGUUGAAUGAUGAAAAAUAUAGCGCUAUAAAAGCUGAAAUACCUCAUUGCCCCCUUUUGCUAUUUAGUCAGGGUUUUUUUAAAGGCAAUAAUUUGAGAAGGACAUUGAAAGCCAUUUUAAUCUUUCCUAUUGCCUCAAAAAUGUCAAAAGGGCAGCCCCAUUUUCAAGUCUGUAACAAGGUUAAAGAUCAUUGUAAAAGAGAAUUUUUUAGCAAAAAAAGUUAACAGUUUCAGUUAAAUUGGAAGAUCAUGCCAAUUUUUCUGCUCUCAAGAUUCAUUAACAUGAUAAUAAAGUUUAAAAAAUAAGUUUGCAAGGACCAGACAAUAAAAUGGGGCACAUCAAUGGUUAAGAGAUCUAACCAAAGUUUGGAAGACACCUAAAGGAAAGUGGUCUGCAUAGAUGACUUGGUAGUUGAUGUGACAGAGAACCUGGAAUUAAAGCAUAUUUGUAUGUAUAAUUAUAUAUGUGAAAAACAAAAGAUACUAUUAACUCGAGACACUAAAAGCUAUACCAAAUACACAGCUUGGUUUUGCAAAGAAUAUUUACAUAUUCAUGAUCAUGCAAAUAGUAAUCAUUUAAUGAACCAGAAGUAGGGUUCUAAUGCUAUGAAGGACUAGGGAAAGAAGUGAAGGAAAGAGAGAAUGUUUAACUGAGUUCCCUGCUAAAAACUCUAGUGUGGCUUCCAGUUACAAUUAGAGUAAAAGUGAAAUGCUUCACUUUGGUUUUAAAUUUCCUGCAUUAUUGGCUCCCUAUCUGCCUCUGCUCUCCUACCCUUCCCUUUUUCUGUUUGUUUGUUUUUGUUUAUUUGGUACAACUCUUCCCUUCUUUUCUUUUCCUUUGUUUUGUUGGUUUGGUAGCAGGGUUCAAACUCAGGACCUCUCACUUAGCAAGCAUGCACUUGAAUCACUGAGCUAAAUCCUGGCCCCUAAGUUUCCCUUCUUUAAUCUCUCUUCAGUGACAGUGACAUUCUUUCCCUCCUAUAAACAAGUCAAGGUUCUUUACCUCCUUGAGGACUUCCUCCUUGAACUUUCUUCUAUGUAAAAUGUUUUUUAAGUGGAAAAUAAAUCAGUCCCCAGUGCCAUUGUCUUUCACAGUGAGAGAAUUUUAGCUCACCAGUGUGGCUGCCCACAAUAGAAACAACAUUUCAAGUUUCUCCUGAAGCUUGGUAUGUCCAAAAAGAUGUGAAAAGGGAAGUUACUGAGUUGCGCUCUGACAGAGAGAGUGUGUGCCCUGCUGCUCCUUCCACUUUGCCGUUUUCAGUAUAGAUGUGAGUGAGCCAUGUGGGCCAUGCAUGUGAGGGGCUGGAGUAGCAAGGAGAAGGGGGAGCCUGGACCUUGGGUGGCCUGCAUGCAGGAUACUGUAAAAGGCAAUAAUAAUAAUAAACUUCAUUUGCUUAAACUAUUAAUACAGUGUCUCUGUCACCUGUAUCCAAACCAUACCUUUUUACUGUUCCCCUAGAUGUUCAUAUUGCAGACAGCUUCUUACCAUUCAGGGCUCAAUUCUCACCCCAGACACUGCCUCAGGAAAGCGUGUCUUGACCACUCUACUAAGUCUUCCAGGUUUUUAUCUGUGCUAAAGUUUAGAUAGCCAGAAUGGCCAGUGGCAGUGGUAGAAGUUGUGCAUGAGCUCACCAACAUGGACUUCUACUGACCAAUACUGAGCUGCCUAGAGCAUUGCAGAAUGUCCAAUGUAUCAGCAGCAGAGACCAACACUUGAGUUCCCAAUAUGACACCAUUCUCCAGGGUGAUCAGCCUGUGAUGUGGUGUCAGGUUGAUUAUAUUGGAAUACUUCCAUCGUAGAAAUGGCAGCACUUCGACCUUACUGGCAUAGACAGUUAUUCUGGGUAUGGAUUUGCCUUUCCUUCACAUAACAGUCCUGUCACAUGAUGGAUUUAAGGAAUGCCUUAUCCAUUGUCACAUUUCCACACAGCAUUGCUCUGAGCAAGAAACCUAUUUCUUUUUUUUUUUUUUUUUUUUUUUGUCUUUUUCAUUUUUACCGGUACCAGGGAUCGAACUCACGACCGCCUGCUUGCAAGGCAGGUGCUUAUGCCGCUGAGCUAAAUCCCCAGCCCCAAGAAACCUAUUUCAUGGCCAAACAAAGGAGACAGUAGGUUCAUGCUCAUGAAAUUCACUGGUCCAACUAUGUUCCACAUUAUCUGGAAGCAGCUGAUUUGAUGGAAAGGGGAAGUUGUAAUGUUACUCCAAAACGGAGGAAAGAAAACCUAUUUUGGAGUACAGAAGAUCUCUUACGGGUGUCUCCAUUUCCAUGCCCUCUUAUUAAGAUCAAUGGGAAAGUACAACAAAUCAAUCCAGGCAGUAUGACAAAUGGCCCAGUACCUUUAGGAAGGAAGAUAUGGGUCAUUCCACUAGGUCAAGAACAAGCCCUGCUGAAGUACUUGCUGAAAGUCAGAACAUAGAAUGGGUAGUAGGAGAAGGUACUUACAAACACCAACUACAACUGUAUGACCCAUUACAGAAACAAGAGUUAUGAUUUUUCUCUCCUGUAUUGUUAAUAUGCUUAUACAUAUAAACAUAUCAAUAUAUAUGUGUAUCUGUAUAUAUAUAUACAUAUAUACACACAUACAUUUAUAUAUUGUUUCUUAGUUUUUGUUGUUUUGUUUUGUUUUUGAGAGUCUCACUGUGUAAUUUGCGCUAUCCUUGAACUCCUGGCAAUCCUCUUGCCUCAACCUCGCACAGGUUGGGAUUAUAGGAAGGUGUCACCAUACCUGAUUGUUUUCUUUCUUUGUAACAUGAUGUUGAUAGACUUAAUAUUGGUUCCUAAACAUGAUUAGAUCUGCAUUAUAGUGUUUAAGUUAUGGAAUAUUAGGGGAAGAGUAAGCGUCACCUAAAGGAAAACUGCCUUCUGUACUGGGAAUUAAGGCAGUUUGGGCUUUAUACAGAAUACUAGUACCACGUUCAGUAUAAUUAUGAACUUGCUAUUGUGUUUGGAGACUAAAUAUGGGUUAAGGAAAUGUGCCUAAUUGUUGACAAGGAGUGGAUUAUGACAGUUAAUUGUGAUGUCAACUUGAAUGGAUUGUGAAACACUUGGUGGAUUAGCAGAGCUCACUUCUAGGUAUGUCUGUGGAUGGGUGACAUGUAGAACAAAAACUAAAGAGUGAAGGCCCACCCUGGAUGUGGGUGGCACCAACCAACAGGCUUGUAGCCUAAACAGCAUAAAAAGGGAAAGAACAAGGAAGUCUUCUCUUUUGCUUCUUUAAAGGAGCUUCGGUCAAUGCCACCACUGCCUUGGAACAUUUGUCUGUUCCUUCAGGCUUCCAAUGUAGAUUCCAGCCUCCCAACACAGACCUUCUGGCUUUCUCACAUAGGUGUGCACCAGACUCUGCAGUGAGCUCCAGGUUUUCAAGCAUUGACUGGAUCCCUUGACUUUCCAAUGAGCAUUCAACCAUUUUGUAUUCUUCCACUCCUGUUUCCACAGGUGGCCAUUGUAAGCUGGGAAAGCGAGAAGCCGAGAGUGUUUCAUGCUCUACCAGAUCUUGGACAUGAUCACAUUGUUUAAGCUGAUUGUUACAGUGGACCCAUUCUAUGUUAUUAAAAUAUGUCAGGGUUAUUCUCCUAGGAUAACACCUUGCUCUGCAACAAGUUCUUUAUCUGAGACAUGAAGAAUAUGAAAUCUAACUCCAGAAGGAAAGACAAGCAAUCCAGGACCCGGUAAUGUUUAAUUGGUGAGCCACAUUUCGAAGGAGCUACUGGAAAACAUUUUUCAUAGCCUGGAGAUUUGGGUGACAGCCUUGCAGUGUGCAGGAUUCAGUGGAGUGUUUACCCAGCACAGGACACAGGACAGAGAAGACACGUGUGCCUGAGAUACAGAAGACAUCUAUCAACUAGGGUAUGGAGGUUCUCUUGACCACAUGGCCCCAGUUGAGGUUUGGAUCUGGAAUGUCCCUCAAGACGCUCUUGCACUUAGAGGUGGAGUGUGGUUGGAUCAUGGAGCACUGUAUUCACCAAUGAAUUCAAAUUACUGGGUUUUACAGCUAAGAGUCUUCUUUGAGUCUCAGAAAAAGACUUUGGACUUGUAUUUUAUCAAUGCUGGAAUGGUUAACAUUUUGGUGACUCUGAUAAGAAAGCAUUUUGUAGAGUGAGCUGCAUGGAAGUCUUUUGGGAGCCAGGGACAGAAUGUUGUGAUUUGGAUCUGAAAUGUCUCCCAAAAAUGUCAUGUGCUCAGAGGCAGGACUUUUGAAGAGUGAUUGGAUCCUGGGGUGCAGUGCUUAUUGGCAGAUUCAUCAACUACUGAUUUCAGCGGCUGGAUGUGCUGUUAUGAGAUGGCAUCAUCUAGAAGAGGUGGGUACGUGACCUGGAAGAUUGCUCUCCCUUCCUGGCUCUUUCCUUUGUCCUCUGCUUCCUGAGCUAUUUCUUCCCUGGGCCCCUUUGACAUGGUAUUUCUGCCUUGUAGCCAACCAACUAUGGAAUGAAAAUGUGAGCCAAAAUAAACCUCU
Cavia porcellus (domestic guinea pig) is the source of this 7638-nucleotide long non-coding RNA. RefSeq lists it as uncharacterized. NCBI's taxonomy places the organism in Eukaryota, Metazoa, Chordata, Mammalia, Rodentia, Caviidae. The record is from RefSeq and is a predicted model, not a curated record. The transcript has 6 exons.